This 41952-nucleotide long non-coding RNA is filed under the name Capsicum annuum. Its description in RNAcentral is "long non-coding RNA (CANN_LNC019377)". The stretch from base 24732 to 25590 matches the Rfam family "Bacterial small subunit ribosomal RNA", at positions 9 to 873 of the family's 1533-position model. The record is from RNAcentral. Lineage: Eukaryota; Viridiplantae; Streptophyta; Magnoliopsida; Solanales; Solanaceae.
AUUGGUGACCUAGAUGGUCAGGGUCUUUCCUUACCUUAGCUGAGCCUUAUGUCCCUUCAACAUUCCUAUUCAUCUUGCCUUGUCUUGGGCACCGCAGUGGACUGAUUAUCCUAUAUAUAAUAUCUACUCUAAAGAUUAAGAGGAUAGAGGGUCUCCCUUCCAUAGAUUCGAUUGGGAUUGAUUCUCAGGAUCGAGCCCUUAUCAGAGGCGUGCCUACCGACACCUGUCAAAGUCUUCGGCUUGCACGACGUCUCCUUCCAUUUGCUCCAGCUAUGAAAGAAAAGAAUGGGCGCAACACUUUAUUCUCUUCUACCGCUCUUUGUUUACUUCUGGCCUUCCCGAACUCCUACACGGGGGGAGUCAGAUCUUGGAGUAAGCUCCUUUCCAUGGGCAAUCUACUCAAGAGUUUAGGCCCCUAAUUCGGUCUAUGUCUGAGCUGCUGCCGUACUCAAAGGCGAGGGGCUCAAAAAGUUUAUACAAUCGGCCUCAGAGGAGAGGGGAGGCUACUUGGGAUUCUAGGUAAAGUGCUUUUUUUGUAUAUAGGCCUUCGUAUAGGAUAGGAUUUUCAUUCCUCCCGCCAAAGCUAGAAAAGAAAGGAGCUCUCUCUUUUUUCCAUCCUUCUUUUUAUUUUAAAGGCAUAUAGUGCGUUCUCGCUUUCAGGGGGAAUUCUUGGAAAAAUCUAGUACAAGGAGGAAGCGAGGGUGGGACAAGUGAAUCCGAUGUGAGGGAAGGAUUGCUGCAUCAGUCGAAACUAGGGCUUAUGUAAUUAAAUCAGAAAUGCACAUGUAAGAUAAGAAUGGAACGAGACAGCCAAAGCAGGGAUUGAUCUAUUCCAAAACCACUAGGUAGGGACCUAUUCCUAAGCCAUUUUCAGUAGACAGAAAGGGAAAAGGACUAAAAACAUUCUUCGCAAGAUGAGAGCAAGGAUUAGAUGAAGCCGACUUUGUCCAUCUCGCAUAUCAACUUCCUCUAUCGAUAACGUAAAGCCGCCCAACACAGAGAACGAACAUGGUCGGUAGGUAAUUAAUCUUCAUUUGGAUAGCAGUACGGUACACGCAUCAAGAUAUGAUCUUUGCUUUUCCAUCCCUGGCAUUCAAAAGAAAGGGGGGAAAGGGAGAGUUAAAAGCACCCUGUAGAUAAAGAUCGAGAGCCUGUAGACCGGGGUUGAACCAUAUCCCCCUUCUGUUAAUCGAGAGUGUGACGAAGUGAACCGCAAAUAUUGUGCGGUAAACUGAUGCUGUGAGGCGGAGAUAGCUGCACUUCUUGUUCUUUUUUCCCUUCGAUUCUUUAACGCUUCUUUCAGGUCUCGCUACCCCUGACCAUAAGAAGAAUGUUAUACUAUAAGAGCGAGGUGCAAGUGCUGCAUAAAGUUCUGUUAUCCGUUGUUCAAGCCUUUCUUUGAGCAGAGCGCUUUCUUUCCGGUCAUUGGCAAGCGCAGAUGGGCUUUCACACCCGCUUAUGUUGUGGGUGGGAUGAAGGCAUCUAUCUUAUUAUAUGGAAGAAGAUCGUUAGAUGGUUAGCGGCUAGAACAAAACAAGGGGCGUUGUAUGGAGGUUUCCAAGCAGAGGUGCGAAGCAAUUGAGAUGCAUAUAGAAUAGAUGGUAGGGUUCCAAACCUCGCCUAGCACCGAAAGAGAAGGCCUUGUUCUGCAGGGUACGGCCCUGGACAGUGGAAAAAUAGAAUAAGAUGGAGCCUACCUACUUGGUUCGGACGAAGUAGAUAGAUCAAAGGAAUGGAAUCUAGGUGGUUCUUAUGCAACUUUUGAUGGUCUCGGAGAUAGAUGGAAAAGCAUUAGAUCGAUGGCCGGGGUAAUUUCUUUCCCACUCUGAGGCAUAUUGAUCUGGAUCCCUGGGAACAGGUUUUUGAGAAGUAGAUGGCUCGGCUCCACUGGGAGAUGGGAAACUAUAUGCGCAGUUAGAGGCAGAGGGACUUGUACUUGGCUAACCAUCAGAGGGAUGGUAAGUAGAUUGUUCGAUAGCUUACCCACGAAGAUGGAUUUUCUUCUGGUCGGCCACCAUAGUACUAAGACUAAAAGCCUGCUAGGCAGUCUACACAGAAGGGAAGUCACCAAACGUAGGAAAGAGUACCUUUUUCUUACUCGAAGGAACCGCUACCAUAGGAUUGUUGACAAGGAUGCCUUAUUGUUUGGACUUUCACUAAGGAUAGACCUAGGAUUGAAAGAGUCGCAAUAGAUGGAUAGCAUCUUCAAUGGAUUGAUGGCUUCUUCAGAAAAGGCUUGGCCUUCAAAAGAUGAGGACUUUUUUGGAAGGAUAGAGUCAUUGUAUUCUCGAGUACCGAUUCUCUUUUAGGAUGGUAUUCUAUUGAAUGAAGGCUACCUUUUUACUUGGCAGGAUGGGGUAGACAGAUAUAGUACGAUUGGAUUGAUGGAUGGUGCACUAUCCUUCUCCCAAUCAUUUCUCAGCAAAACCAACGAGUACAACUUAUUAAAGGGAAACUACGAAAAAGAUCUUAGAGCUAGCUCCCUCAAUCAUCCACAGCUCCGGGAUUAAUGUGCUCUUUUUUAUGCUGGAGUCAUAGCUUAUCCAAAAUUCUUAUUCCCACCCCUACAAGGUCUUUAAAUAAAAUGAAGAUAAGACGAUAACUUAUCGUCUGCAUCUAUAACUACUUCUGGUUUAUAUACACUGCUAAAAGGUUGAAUUCCAAACGAUUAGGUUAGGGCAGGGUGGAGUUCCUCUUUAGCACUGUUCUUUUAGGAGUAGUUCCUUCUAAUCAAGGUAUAAAAGCAAAAGCAAAAGCCUGGUUAAGCUUCGACGAGCUGCCUAUUGAUACUCCUAACUUUUCCACUGUUGCUUAGUUCUGGGUAGAUGGGUUGGGCUAGCCACAAAGGUACGCCCGGGCCUCUGAGAGUGACCGACCUUGGCACCUUCACUCACUCAGUCCCCAACUAUAGUGGGAUCCCUACCCAAUGACUGUAUUCCUGAGCCCAUAAGCAUAAGUAGAAGGACUGACCAAUCCCAGAUAAAGAUAGACGGUGAACCAAGAAGAUCAAAAAGCAUUUUCAUUCCCUCUCUUUUCUCCCUGGAAACUAUACUGGGGAACUAAGCCUAAAUGAAAUGGUAGGUUUCGACAUCUUUUUCCCUUCGCUGACUCUUUAUCUUCAGCUUCAAUUACAAAGCAUUCUGCUUCCGAGAAAUUCUGCCUUUGAGCGACGACUUUUGGAGCAGGAGUAAUAGGGCAAAGCAAGCCUACACUGGCCACUGUCACCAUCCUUUCUUUAUUAGUUAGUGCCAGCUCUAGCUCUCCCGAUGAAGAAAUCUCUGUCCUACUGCAUGUGUCGGUCUUUCCAACUCGACAUGUGAUCUCAACCUCCUCAUUACGAGGCGGGCAAUGGAAUGAAACCAUCGGAUGCUAAUCCUAGGUUCACAAAUCUAAAGAAAUCAAACUGACUUACUGUCCUCGGAGACAUUUCAGAGGUCUUUGAUAGAGUUCAAUAAGCCCUUUUCCACAGUUAGAGGAGUGGCCAAAGGACGAGAAUCAAGUAUAUCUGCACGAGGCAGGAGUUCUAGGGCAUAUUUUUGCUGACGAAAGAUAAGAGUGCGCCUCUGCCGAUACACUUCCAUACCAAGAAAGUCGUGGAGAAGGCCCGACGUCUUUCAUAUUUUCAUGAGCAUGCAAGAACGAAAGAAGAGCAAGUAUUCCCUGUUGAUCACUACCUGUGAGAAAAAUAUCAUCGACAUAUAAAAGAAGGUAGAUACUAUCCCCAGAUGUGUGACGAAUGAAUAAAGAGGUAUCACAGUGGGGCCUGUCUUCUGUCCGGUUCUUGGGUCCGGUCGAGCCUCUUUGAAAUUACAUCCCUGCCUCUCGUCUAACUCGAGUUGCCCCGCUCCUUUGGCAGUUAAAGUAGCUCGCUUCAAGAAGUAAGAUUAUAUCCCUAGGGGUAUGUUACGAGCAGAAGUUCUCUUGCUAGUGGAAGUAAGAGUAGCAAGGUUAGGACCGCAUAUAAAUAGAAUAGGGGAAAGAAAUUUGAUUCCCUAGAAGUUUGUCCGGUUGGGAAAGCCAGAACUCUUGUAAACCAGCUUGAUAAAGGGUAGUGGUAGGGACAGUCUCAGUACCACUUUCAGUGCGAUAGUCCUUCAUUGCGACUUAGAUUGCACGAUCAAGAUCAAAGUGUCCGUUCGGUAAGUCAGCCAGUCGUCAUCUUAUCUUGAACGAGCAUCGUCGUCCCCAUCACUUCCUCAUCCUCAACCUCUAGAGGAGUGGAAGAGACUUCUUUGUCCUUCUUGUUUUGACUUUUGCUCUGACUUCUUCUCAUCUAAGCAUUUGCUUCGGCCUACAAAAGCUCGGACGAGCGGGGAAUAUCAUAAACUCAAAGAAGACCAGGGUCAGCCGACCUAGAAGAAAACACAAAUAGAGAUAGGUCAACUGAUUAAUAGGUAUACUUGUCAAGCGACACAGAAACAGGUACAUAAGGAAUCACAUCAUCACCUCCUUCUUGCUCUUUGGCUUUAUUAGUGUCAGUUGAGGCCUCUCUUUGAUCAUUCCUGUCUUUCAGUGCUUGCCCUUUCUUUGUUAAAUAAAGAUCUUCAUCGAUCUCCAAUACGGCUGUCACUCUUAUAGGAUAGGGAGAAUUUACGUAUUACGAGAAUGUCGUUGAAGUAGGAUCGCUAGUGGGAUAGUCCAGUGGUACUCCUUGCCUCUGUUGACACAAUUAACCAACGGGGACCGACAGACAGCUUGCUUAGUAAAGUCUUUUAUCUUCCAUUCAGGGGUCAUGAAUGAUUAAGAGAAACGAAGGGUGAGUGCAACGAACUAGAAUUUGGGACCAGUCUUGUAGCGAAUAAAGGAAAAAGGUCCCGGUAGGGGUCAGCAGCGUCGGGAGGCGGAGGUGAACAACAAGGACUAUCUCUCGUAGCCGAUAUCCCACCCUUCUUCCGUAAGGAUGGAUUCGGGCUUAAGCCAACUCGACCAAGGGGGGAGGAUAACUCCUUUUCAAUAAUAGGAGCGUAACCUACUACUAAUGUAUGUAGACCAAGGACUUUCCAUUUCAACGGGAUUCUCGUCUCCAGCUCUUUCCCACCAGCUCGUUCUUUACUAGGCAUCUAGGCGAACCCGCCGGGUUAAUUAACUCAACGUAAAGAAAGCUCAUUAGAUCAAAACUAGGGGAGUGCUUACUAAUAGCGAAAGGUUAACAUCUCUCCGCCCUUAUUAGUAGUAGCGAACAUCAGGUAACUUCGUGCUGUAAAACGAUAGAUUGGUAAUGAAACGCAAUGUACUAAGAAAGCGCAACUCUAUUAGACCUUUAUCUGGAAAAAGCUAGAAGAAAGGCGAGAAAGAAAGGUUGCCUACUACUAAUAAGGGCGGGUAAGAAAGAGAGGAGAGGUGACUAGCUUUGUAACUUUAUUCAAUCUAAAAGGUUGGCUCAGUGCCCUAUCCGCCUUUAAGUGAAGGGGCGUAUCCACCGAAGAUGGCAGCGGGAAAGACGGGAGCACGAAUAAGGUAGCUUAUAUUUUUUUUCAUCCUCACUACCUAGUUUAUAGUAGAAUCUAGAGAAUAUGAACUUCUCGUAUUCUUCUUUUUGGUACGUUGUUAUGAGCAGCUCUGGUGCUCGAUCUUAGGUCUGAGGUAUGGGUCGAAUCAUGAUAAAGAAGGUUCGGUGGUUUUAUAAUUCCCAAGCGGAAAGUAGUAUACUUUCAAAAUAGAUGGAGUGAUCAAGCGGCCCUUCUUGCGCCAACAUACAUCCAAUGGCAUAGCGUGAUACGUCAGUGUGAACAUGGAACUCUUUAUUCCAAUCCGAAAACUGAAGGAUUGGGGCUGACAGCAAACACUCAUCUGCAUGCUUAAAGGCUUAAUCCUGUUCCCGUUCCCAAGCCUUAUACCUUUCUUCUGCAAUGAUUCCAUUCUGGGAUUCCGUGCUUCGAAAAGUCUUUUUUGAUGUGUCUGUAAUAGCCUAUGUGUCCCAACUUCGAAGCUCAACUUAGCCUAAGACUUGGGAAUAAAGCGAAGGAAAGGUUAAUAUUACUAUAUUAUUUCUUCCCUCUUCUUCCUCCCUGACUUCAUACUCGCUCUAACCCAACAAAAAGGCAGAGUUCCAUUUGGUGGGUGGGUCUAGGGCGAACGAAAGAGAUGUGUAGCAGAGGGCAGGUGAGGCAUUGUGUCGUCGAAUAGAAAGACAUUUGCUCUUCCAUUUCUUAGUAGGAUUGCUCCUAUGUUAGCAGGACAUUUCGUGCAAGAACUAGGUUUGAGUUAGUGCACUAACUAGGUUGUUUUAUCUCGCCUAAUGGCUCUAUCUCUGAGGUAACCCGGACUAGUAGCAACCGAUUCUAGUAAAUGACGAUAUUGUUUCAUAGAAUUAGUUGUUCUUUCUCUCUCUUUUCUUCUAGAGAAAUUGAGUCGUUCAUUUCGGUCUAACUUCGUUACUGUACCCCGAUCUCACUCCGACAGCGUACUAUCCUAGACCUCUGUCUAUCCCGACAUUGAUAGAAAUUCAUAGUUAGGUUAGCCAUCCCAGUAACCCAGACAAAUGGGAGGCUCCGCACUUUACCUAUCAUACGAUUCUGCCAGACUAUUUUAUUUCAUUCAUUCUCCAUUCCGUCUACUCUGGGAACCCAUAAUCUGACGAUUCUUUCACAUAUGAUCUUUUUUGUGAAUUCAACAUCAGUGAUCUACGACCAUCCUUUGUUCUUUUCAUUCCAAAAAGGAAUAGUUGGCUGAUAGGUGCCCAGCCCAGGUCUGGACAUCAUUCCUUUCUCCUUCUCUAGCUACUGGUGAGGGGCAAUCGACCAAUCCCUGGAACCACAUUUGUUGAUAAGUAUAUGGAUAGAUAGAUAGCAAUUCUUCCUCUCGAUGACAAGGGACGGAAAGAGAAUCUGCUUUCAUCGGAAUAUCCGAUUCAAAGGCAAGAGACGAAGAGACAAUAAGUUAAUUUUGGAUCACAGAAAGGAUCGGAUCGAAGGAGAAAGGUUAGGCACUUCCUAAAGUCAUUUCAAUAAGAGGUUGCUUCUUGCAUCAACGUUAAUUCAACUAUUUCAUUGAUCCAAGGAUGAAUUUCCCUUAGCCCUUAAGCUUCAAGCUAGAAAGCCGAAAUUAAGUCAACAAGUACGGAUUUUUACACUGGCAUCUUAGAAUAAGAAAGGAUUGUUCCUGAUCCGGAAUUUGCAACAAAACAUAAUUAGAAGCAUGCUAUGCUAGCAUAGAAUAGUUGUACCGAGUGAAAACUUCUUUUCUUAGGAUUAACAGUAUAAAGAUCUUUUUCGUUGAUAACAAGCCUUUCUUUUCUUCAUAAAGGAAGAGAACCGAAAAGCUUUGAUGCGAGGAAAGUCAGUCUAUAAAGACGGACUAAUUGUCUCUCUUCUGCCUAUCACUUUAUCUAAGCUCCAGUUAACCCAAUGCAAGACAGAGGGAUCUAUAAUCAGACUGACUCUUCUCUUUCCAAAAGUGGAAUGCUUCUUUUAUGCCAUUAUCUUCCUGCCAAACCUACUAGUUCGAUCCAACCCAGCGGACUUAGAGCAAGAAAUGCGUACUUUCAGAUAAGCCUAUCAUCUUGAAAUAGUUCCAACCUAAUCUAAGAUGACGAUUCGAAGAGCCAAUUAGCCGUAAGCAGAUGACUAACUGUCUCUGUAAACCACUGAUUCAAGGCCUAGUUGAAUUACGGCUAUUCUCACUAGUCUUUAUUUCCCUUCUCAUCCAGCUUGAGAUUAGUUCUUACGUCGAGUGGGUUACAGGCUUUAAGAAAGCACUACUGGGCCCACGACUUCUCGAAGCCGAGAGGCUAAAGAAAAAGUCAAGUCCAUCAACUGAUGAAGAGAAGAAGGAAAUGUCUCUUGUUCCUUAUUCUUAUGUAGCUGGUAGUUUGAUGUAUGGCAGGGUUUGCACUAGGCCAGAUAUUGCACGGUACUGUUAGUAGCUUUCUUUCUAAUCCAGGAAAGGUGGACCUUGGGCAACUUGACUGGUUGGACAGGAGCUUUUCUCUCUUCUUUGCUUUUAUAUAAUAUUCUCCGCCGCUUCUAAAGGAAACGGUUCUUAGGUCGGUGAAACUGUCCCCAAAGCCAAGCUCGUGACAAGGAAUUUUUGGUCAUAUCCGUUGGUCUUGCUGUUACGGUUUAGGGUGCUCUGGAAAAGAUGACUAUGUACCUUCCCUUUACUGGUUAUCAUACCAAUUAGCAGAGCGAGUACCCGAGACGAACAGAGAACUAAGUCGAAAGAAAUCCAGUUAGUCCUAAAGUCUUGGAAGUGGGUUAUGGGGUUGAAAGUGUCGAACCAUUCUCAUAUCGUGUAAGUAGGGUCAUCGCCUUAUAAGACCUUUGCAAGGAAGGGAAAGGAGGGAGAAUAAGGGAAGGUGCCAAGUAGCUGAUUGCACAUUACUAAGGCAAGGAAUAAGACGUCUGAGAAAGGAUGCCGAAAAAAGGCUUCAAUUGUUUCUGGUGCAAAGUCAGUAGUACUAGGGCCUUCGAGUUGGAAUUUCCAACUAUAAACAAGUGUAGCGAAGUCACCUCCUUUGCUGAAUCAGGAAUAGCCAACUCCAGGUAAUACCAGCUCAAAGACGAUGACUAGUAGAUCCCUUUUUCUUGGCUAUAUGAUAUCAUAUCAGACAGAAUAGACCGGGCCAAAGAGCACUAACCGGGAGCGAAGGGUCCAGAAGUGAGCGGAAGGAAAGGGAGUGAGUGCGCCGCAAGACCAGAGAAGGCAACUUGUGAAGUGACCUUCACUCGGGAACGGAUUCGAUAGGGCCGCGAGAAGCCUUGUUUUUGUCUUUCUAUCACGUCCGGCUAUUCCUACUGAGUCCUCCCUGCAACAUCGUUAAGUUUUGUCAAUAACCGUUUUUACGCUUGGGGGAAUGUCUAGAGAUUUCUACCUCAAUUUUAUGGUUGUAAAAAACUAUCUGCUUUAGAUGGUAACCAUAUUGACUCUUCCUCUUGACCUCUUGUCUUGGGUUGAGAGAGCCAUGGAUUGCUCUCGGCAAGGAACUUUCUCUCUUAAAGAAGGUCUUCCAUGCCUGGCACUUUCCUCAAACAAAGUAAAAUCACAACAGUUUCAUUUCGUGCUUAGGAUGGCAUAACCUUAAAAUGUUGGGCGAGGUUUAAAGGAGGAAAGGCAUACGGUGGUUACCUAGGCACCCAGAGAGGAGGAAGGGCAUAGUAAUCGACGAAAUGCUUUGGGGAGUUGAAAAUCAGCAUCGAUCCGGAGAUUCCCGAAUAGGGCAACCUUUUGAACUACUGCUGAAUCCAUGGGCAGGCAAGAAAGAACCAGGCGAACUGAAAGAUCUUAGUAGCCAGAGGAAAAGAAAGCAAAAGCGAUUCCUGUAGUAGCGGCGGGCGAAAUGGGAGCUACCUAAACCAUGAAAACGGGGUUGUCGGAGAGCAAUACAAGCGUCGUACAGCUAGGCGAAGAAGCCCAAAUGCUACACCGUAGAUGGCGAAAGUCCAGUAGCCGAAAGCAUCACUAGCUUAGGCUCUGACCCGAGUAGCAUGGGGCAUGUGGAAUCCCGUGUGAAUUAGUAAGGAACACCUUUCAAGGCUAAAUACUCCUGGGUGACUGAUAGCGAAGUAGUACCGUGAGGGUAAAGAACCCCCGAGAGUGAAAUAGAACAUGAAAGCGUAAUCUGCCAAGCAGUGGGAGGAGCCAGGGCUCUGACCGUAUGCCUGUUGAAGAAUGAGCCAGCGACUUAUAGGCAAUGGCUUGGUUAAGGGAACCCACCGAAGCCGUAGCAAAAGCGUGUCUUCAUAGGGCAAUUGUCACUGCUUAUGGACCCAAACCUGGGUGAUCUAUCUAUGACCAGGAUGAAGCUUGGGUGAAACUAAGUGGAGUUCCGACUGACUGAUGUUGAAGAAUCAGCGGGUGAGUUGUGGUUAGGGGUGAAAUGCCACUUGCACCCAGAGCUAGCUGGUUCUCCCCAAAAUGCGUUAAGGCGCAGCAGUUGACUGGACAUCUAGGGGUAAAGCACGGUUUCGGUGCGGGCCGCGAGAGCGGUACCAAAUCGAGGCAAACUCUGAAUAUUAGAUAUGACCUCAAAAUAACAGGGGGGCAAGGUCGCCUAGUGAGACGAUGGGGGAUAAGCUUCAUCGUCGAAUGGGAACCAUUGUCACUAUCUCAUAAGUUUAACCAAAGUUGUUAGACUCUGAAGGUGAGUGCCAUAACUAUCCUCUCCCACGAAACGAUUUUGGAUAACCUACUCAUCACCCUCUCUCUUUUGAGCGGUCAACAAGACUCCAACCAAGUAACAUUUUUGUCUAGCCAUUUAAGGAGAAAAAACAUGCAUCACCCACUUACUCUUAACAAGGACUCUUUUCAGUAUUUUCCCAAAAACAGCAAUUAGGAAUAGAGAAUAUAUAUCAAAGAAAGGUCUAACUGUUGGAAUCAUUUUUUCCAUUGCUAUUUGAUACAUUUCGGUCAUUAACAUUAGUGAAUUAGGUGAAAGUGCGGAAAGAGAGGGAUUCGAACCCUCGGUCAACAAAAUCCUACAUAGCAAUUCCAAUGCUAUGCCUUAAACCACUCGGCCAUCUCUCCUACAUAAUGAUUAUAACCCAAAAACCGAGUGAAUAGCGAGUCAGUCAUAAACAAUUAUUGAUUGGAUAGGUACGACCAAUCCAUUCUAACUAGAAAAAUCAUAAAUUUGGCAUUCCCGUUUUCUUUUUUUGAAUAUCCUCCUUCCUUGAGUGAAAUUCAUUUUGUAUCGUACAAGAAAGGAAUUCUAUUUGUGUAUAUGCUCCCGAUAAAAAGAAAUAAGGUACUUUAUUCCAUUACAUACAUGGAUCGGGUUGAAAAACCAGACCCAGUCUCUCUUGGAAUCCUGAAUAUGCCAAUAAAUAAUGAAUUGUACUAAUCCACAUAUGCCUCUCUCCCAUCAAUCGGUACUAGUUGAAGUAAUGAAAAAAUCCCCUUUCCAACCAGUCAAGUAGCCCAAGGGCCACCUUUCAUGAGAAAUACAAAACAAAAAAGAAAAAAAAAAUCCCUCGUUGGGAAUGAAAUUAUGCUCCCUGUCCCCCUUUCACAAAAAAUGGAGAGAUGAAUUGAUAUAUUUAUUGAAUCCGUCGGGACUGACGGGGCUCGAACCCACAGGUUCCGCCUUGAUAGGGCGGUGCUCUGACCGAUUGAACUACAAUCCAGGGAAAAUUAGGUGUACAGACCCUAAAUCAAUUUAGAUUCGAACCAUUUAGUUUCGCUGUGUUGUAAGAGAGAGACGAAUGAUAUACUUUAUUAUUAUUAUUAUCUAAUUAUAUAUAUAUAUUAUGAAAAAAAAAUGUAGUAGACUCAUAGUGGGCUAAUUCGUAAUUGAAUCAUGACUAUAUAAGCUAUUCUGAUAUUAAGAGAUUUAAUAUAGAUUGAAUUCGUGGAAGCGGAACUUUGAUUUCCUUGGACCACGUAAGAAUUCGUCGUCUGAUUGAAUCUAUUUUUUCCUGGAUGCUCUAUAGGAAUCCAUCACUAUUCCUUUCCUCCACCGAUAAAGGUUCAUCCCGAGUCACAAGAGCAAUCUCUUUUUUUCAUUCUUUUUUCUUUUCGUUAUGGUAAUGCAAGAGAUCGGAAAUCUGGUUGUUUCUGAUGAUGAAAAGUGCUUUUAUCUUAUGUUCAAUUUAUGAAAACCCGAAAUGUCGGUAAUGUUAGAAGAUGACCGUAGGCAUCUGAUGGUCAGAUGCCGUAGGUCGGUAUAUCUUUGAAAGCUCAGAUGGAGAGAAUAAAUGGACUCCUCAAGGGCUACUUAAGCCACUUUAGUGUAAACCAAAAGGACUGGAGCUGUUGGAUGUUGCUUAGUCCUGCUAUAACUUAACAACCUAAAAGCUCAGCAUCGAACUUCAUCCCCUUCGAGUUAGCCAUGGGGUAACAGCCUCUGACGCCCCACACCAUUGCGACAGGAGGGGGCUUGCCCAUCAGCCUACUUUGCCAAGAGGUGGCAGGAGCGCAACGACCUUAGCCCAAACCUACUUAAACAACCUAAAGGCUUGGCCCGGUCUAAAAGUAGACCUUGUAGAAAAGCGGAUAGAAAAGGUAGCCUAUAGACUAAAGCGACCAGCUCGGUGAAAACGAACCCCGUAUUCCAUGUGAGUCAGUUGACUUCGAUUAGACCAGACCGCCCCAGAGAGGAACGUGCCCACGAGGGCACCACCAGAUGUUGUAGAUAAACCUACUAAAGAAGAAGUUGAGUAUAUCAUAGCUGGCCGCACCAUGGGCUAGCCCAUACACCCACUGCACGAGUGGAAUACUACUUAGUCAAGUAGAAAGGCCAACCUGAGAGCGAGGCAAGCCGGGAAGGGGCUGAGACUUAGGAUUCGAAGACCAAGUCAGAGACUACUAGACGUCUUGCAGAGCGACUAUCAACGAGGACGUUGAGACUGUUCGAAAAAAAAAGAUUUUUUGGCUUAAUCCGCCUUUACUAAAGAAAAAAGAGUACACUUGUACUUCGGCUAAUAAGGGAAAGGUCUUUUUUUCAAAUCCGACGUUUGACUCUGAUUAGAUCCUUAGCACAAGCGCUAAGUAAGUAAGCAAGCUACCGCUCCGUGGGGUAAAAACCGAGGAAAAUAAAGAACGUCAAGUAGAAAGGAACAAGGUCUUACGGCACGAUCACUAUAUCUUUGAUUUUUCUUUAUCUCUCCUCGGCUUGAGCCGAGUGGAUGAUACGUGGCAUGGUAUACCUGAUCGUUUAGUCAAAAAAAAGUACGUAAGUCGACAUAGCUCCAUGUAUAUGUUCUUUGGAGCUAGAACCAUUUAAUAGAAUGAAAUGAAAUAAUGGUAAGCCUAGGGUGACGAACAUGGCUCAAGAGUGUCUAUACAAAGCGCCUCUCUUCUUCACUCAAAGAAGCAAUGCACCCUUUGUUUGAAUGGUACUUGAUUCAUAAAGAACGAUUCUUUUGAAGUUAUACGGACUUUCUGAAAAAAAUGCCACGCUCCGCGUGUCACGAGAUAUAUCGCUCUCGGACUUCUUAUGGUAAGGCCAAUGCACCAGCCAGCCAGUGUGGUGGCGAUCACGCUGUGCUCUAAGCUAAGCUGUUUACCUUGUAGACGGAGGAGAUAUAGAGAGUGUGUUGUGCUUGAUUCAUAAGAUUCUAUAAUCAAUAGCACCAGUAUAUUAUUUUACUUAGCCUGCCUCUCCCAUGACUUUCUGGACCAACCAACCCGGAUCUGACUUCGUAAGUCUCUCUUUAUUUUGGGAGCAGAGCAUGCAGCAAAAUCGAGCAAUGGAUCUUAGAAGAAUUCCACUUUGAAGCACGACUCUUUCUAUUUCUGUGCUGGCAUUUGAGUUGUCUCCCUCUUUCAAUCGAAACACUCAAUGCAGAUAGCUCCGGUGGCCCCCGCUUCUGCCUCUAUCAGGCGGCGACAGCCCCCCCUCCACACCUACAGCAUAGAGGAGCUGCUCCAACAUCCGAACUACAACCAAAAAAAAUGCUCUCCAGAGCGAUAUAUGAUGCUAAACCGAGACCGAGAUAUAGAGAGGGCUGUCCUUUUAUUUUGUUGUCUCAAAGAGACAAAACAAAAGCACUCAUAUGAAUGGUGCUAAUUCCCAUGUUCUUUCUAGUCUCAUUUGGUUUCGAGAGCCUCCCUCUCCCUGUAGGUCGAGCCUCCUUUUUAGUCUCCCUCUCCCCGUCCCUUACUCGUCUUUUGAAAGCCGUCAUCCUGGAUUUUCUUUCCGUAUGCCGGGGAAAGUACCUCACCCUCACCUUUCUACAUUUAUUAUUAUAUAGAAUUUCCUCAGGUCUCUUUAAAAUAGAAUGAAAAGCCCGGGUGGAAGCACAAACAAAAGGAGAGAGAAAAAGUCGAAAAGAAAGGGGGGAAGAAGUCUAGUGCUAGUUCUUACUAACACUUCUUUAUCUAACUUUCAUUUUUGAGUGCUUUGUUUGUUCUCUUAUUUGCAUUGAAAGAAAGAAAAAACUUCCCUUUCUUUCUCUUCUUUAUUUUGGUUUUAUCCCUUUGACGAAUUUCUGCUAUGACCAAUGUCCCACUAGCUAAAUAGGCGUAAGAAAAAGCUACCUGAAAAAAAAAACAAGGUGCACCUUGAAUUGAACUCGACGAAUUGCGUUUUGCCAGAGAGAUUUUUUUAGAAAGAUUCUCCAUUGGUAAUUCUAAAAUAGAAAUAAUAUAAAUAAAGGCGCAUACGCGGGAAGGGGCCCCCCCUUUUUCUUAGAAUUCAACAUUUAUGAUAUGUUUUGCAUCUUGUUCGCCCACUCUUCAUUUAGGGUGAUUCGAACCAGGGGAGGAUCUUCCACCUUUAAGGUCAUAGCACCAGUACUUGAAUGAUUACUCUUACUGCUCUUCUCAGGUUCACCUCUUUUGGAUGCCCUGAGGUUUGAAGUCAUUUGUUUAUCACAGAACGAGUCCCCCUCAGUCACUGCCAUAGUUGACCCUCUCUUCCAUAUCCUCGCUUCUAUGAGCCAAAUCGCUCUCCUCGGGAGUUCUCUCCUUGACUACACCCUCCUCAGCUGUGUUACCCAAACACUCAUCCUGAGCAAUCUCUUCCCGUUCAGCAGUGUCCAGAUCUGGCAUCUUUGCCUUUUCUUGUUCAGAGACCUCUAGAACCGCAAAAUGGUUCGGGAUGACUAGGUCCAGUUGGGUCAUUCCACUCGUACAACUAGUGUCCAGCCCCCCUUUGCUAUUGUCACUACUGGUACCUGACCCCGUCGACUCGACAUUUUUGCAAGCACCGACCCUUACUCAAUAGGGCAAUUCAAAGAGGAGAACGAGGAUAGCUAACUAUCGCUAAAAGUCAGACUACGAGUACACAUUAUAUGAUUGAAAACUGUCGCUGCAUACUACCCGGUGCUUGCAGGUCUGACUGGUGCCUUCUCUCCAAUAGCUGCUUCAAUCAAUGUCGACGUCUAACUAUGCCCGCAGCUGACUACUUAUUGAAAGAACGAAUAGGAAAUGAAAAGUCGUACUACAACAACUGUAAAUAAACAUUCUCUCCCCGCUCUGACUUUGAUCGACUUGCUCGCACAACGUCUUUUUUGAGAGAAGAGGUCAAGGGGCUAAGUGACUCUCGAAAGUCGUCUUUUGUAUCGCGUCAAGAGAAAUGACAUAGAUAAGAUCAUUGCUUAAAGAGUUUCAUUGUCAAAUUGAUCUCGAAAUUGGAUCCCAAUAGUAGCUGCUGCCCAAAGGUGCUUUAUGAAAGCCGGUCCACAGCAGUGAAAGUACGAUUGGUUCCAUCGAUCGAACGAAAACCGCUUCUUGCUUUUUUGGCUUGACUACUCUGCUUGGUUAACAUAAGUCUUAUUUAACCUUCACGGACCACUUCACUACCCAGCAAGCUCCGGCUCAAAAGCAAGAAGCAAGGGCGCAGCAGCUGCGCGAAAGCCCUUGCUUCUUAGUGCAUCCCUUUUCUUGCUCGUUAGCGCUCUUUUUUUAUUGCAUCUAGCGCGCUUGACUAAUGAUGAUAGAAAGGGCCUUUCUCGCUUGUUUGAAGCCAUAUAAGGUUUUAUUCAAUUGUCAAACAAGGGGGAAGUCUACCACACCAACCCUUUAAUAGAUAGGGACUCCAGCGCAGCGGUAAGAAAAAGUCACUCAGUGAAUCGAUGGAUCACACACUUGGAGGCAGGGACAGGGGCAUGCUUGACUCUUUAGAAAGUAUACAAGUGUUAAAAGAGUGAAGUCUAGGGACAAGGUUAAACGUAAGGAAUGGCACCUCCUCCCUACUAAAGAAGUUCGCAAGCAAGGGACAUGCCGAACACCUACCUUUCCAACUAAGUCCAAGGCGAGGACCCUUUAAUUGACGAUGCAUUCCGUCGUUAGCAAGCGGUGGCAGACAAGGCCCUUUUCCAACGAGUCAAGUGGCUGAACUCCCCUUUCCCUAAAUAUCUUGGGAAGCGAAGAGGACAGGUUUGAAACUCAUUCGGUAAUCUUCUCCUGAAGGUAGGCAUUUCCCCAAGGCACUGAUAUGAUGACUCUCUCAAUUACAUGUGUUUUAGGGAGUUGAACAUCUUAUUCUUAUGAGUGGCCUAUGCGAAUAUAAGCCAGGAGCAAGGAUUCCAGAAAGUCAAAUUCUAUAUUGCAAGUGCAAGUCGACGUUCCAAAAGUGAAAGCUGGCCCUAAGCACGAUCCAAAGACGUUUAAGUCCAGUUCCAACCUGGAUAUAAAAGUUGACGUUCAAUCGUCGAAAGUGAGAUCUCUUUUAGUCCGGUCUUCUUUUCUCUUUUGAGUCAGGUUCUUAAGAUGGAAAUCGGGUUUUCUGAAUAUCUCUCUUCCGGUCUGGCCUAUUAAGUAAGUUAGUUAGAGAUCGAAAGCUGAGAGAGACUAAACUUUUAGUAAGAGUAGGUGCGCGUUAAGUUGAGGAGAGCUGUUCACAAGCAGUGGUUAUGAGCUCUUUCUUGUUCCGGUUCAGAAGAGGUUGCGCACGUUCAGUCGCAUUAGUGGAUUGAAUAACCUUUUUUUUGAGUGCCAACAAAGUGCAUAUGUUCUUGGUUAAUAAAAACACAAGUAUAGGCUAGAGGACUGAUACUAUAAGUAGGACAAAGGCCUUCAAAGAGAAAUGAAAGGAUUUUUGGAGCAUUUUUCCAAUUAUCCAAGGAAUCCCUUUCUUGACAUUUGUAUUUUAGAGAGAGAGUUGUGCUUAGGUCAGUUCCUUCAGUCCACUUUUUUGGUAAGCCAAAAGUGCACCCCACGGAGCGGUAAGUAAGUAGUCCCGUAUGAAAUUCAGAAAACAUUCAUAUCUGGCACUUGAGGAGGUCAAUCUUAAGUGUUGGAAGCUACCGCUAAGGAACUCCCCCUCAUCUAGAAAGGAUAGGCAAUUGAGAGAGAAUAAGGCGAUAGCGACAGACACAUGAACUGAAAUAAAUUUCGACGAUUACAUCCGUAGAGGAGAAGGGAAAGCUGCUUAGAUAUGGCGAUAGCCCGGUUUUGAUUGUUUAUCCUUUUCUGCGCGUGUCUUGUAUUGAGGUAUAUCGAAGAAAUGAGUAAAAGUAGGUAACAGAAGGGGAGGGAUUGCUGUUUUUUAUUAGUGAGGACAAGCCGCUUUCAUUUUCAACAAUCUAAUGGUAGGGCGAGUAGGCGGUUCGUAUCUUUCUAUGACCCCCAGAAUAAGAAGUUGGAGGAUAGGCAGAGCAAGAGCUCUUGAAGUCUACUCGAGUGCACUUCUUCAUUCAUCCAUUUAGGCCCGGCUAGGAACCCGUGGAUCCAGGGAACCUGGCUCGAGAACAGCUUCUUACUAGUAGGAGCUAAUCACAGUAAGAGAGUCCAAUCUCUGAAAUAGAGCUUAGUCUCUCCAUAGUAGUCUACUAGUAGAAGUCUUAGGUUAUGACUUGAUCCAAUAGAGUCAGAACACCUUUCUAUCUAAAAGAAAUGGUGCUUGAUGAAAGGAUCCAGAUUCCACACUAUGCUGUGGGCUGGGGAGAGAGCUGCUCUGUGAAGCUGGGCGUUCAGCGUUCUUAUGGAGGAAGCAUACUCGAAAGAGAAUUUAAAGGGUCAUCAAAAAAGAGCGAGGGAUGGAUGGGCAACCUUAGUCUAUAUGUUGCUCGUGAGCCACCAAGUACCAGUCUCGCAACAGUAUUGGCGCAAAAGGAUCGGUCCUUCACUUAUUGAUUGUUUGCGAGUCGAACUUGCUCUCUUACCACGCCUUUCACUCACUCUCUUGAGUCGGACUCAAUCACUCUUUGAGUUUGGAGGAUCAUUCGUUAUUCACUCUCUUGCUAUUACCCGCAGGGAGCGCAGCAACCAAGAUGCAUAUUAUCAUAUAGAAAGAGGCAAAGCGUAGAGAUUCGUACUACCGAAAACGUUUUGCUAACCGGCAGGCAAUAGAAUCAGCCGAUAGGCGCAGGCAAGUGUAGCGAAUCACAUAGAUAAGCCCCUACCUGCCAGCUAAGGAUGGAUAGGGUGGGCGAAGCACGAAGGGGAUGGAUGUCUGAGUGGUUGAAAGAGUCGGUCUUGAAAACCGAAGUAUUUUUUGAAAUACCGGGGGUUUGAAUCCCUCUCCAUCCGCGAGGUCAUAAGUUCUCUCUUGCCUUAUCUAUAGAUAAGAACAAAUCAGAUCGACUCGACUGAUAUGAUAGAUGGAAUGGUAGUUUGUGUUAUAUUUAGUUAGGACCCUGUCUCCCUUUCAUUAUCUUCUGCUCUCCUUGUAUAGGUUGGGAAAGGGCUGGGUCGAUUACCUUUGGAAGCUAAGUCGAAGAUCUCGGUGGUCUUGUGAGUGGUUGAUAAACUGCGAUUACAGUUUUCUUUAGGAAGUCCCAUAGCACUGAGGCUUAACAGAUAAAGAAAAGGGUGGAUACUUUCUGGGUAGAAGGUGACAACCCUAAUGAAUUGACUAUGAAGGUGGCUCUUAGCUACAUCAGCGCUCAAUUUCCUUAAUCGUUAUUGCCCAGGCUUCGAUGAUCAACCCCUGGCACAUUUAGGUUUUGAUCUUCGGCCAUCCUGGUCCUCAGGACCCAACACUAUAUUAUUCCACUAUAUUUCCUUUCAAAUGAAAAGAUGCAAAAGGUGUUGAUACGUCCUAUCCAUAUAAAAAUCUUACCCUCUUCCACACAUUACCGGUGGAUGCUACAGCCGCUAUCACUUUGGCUGCAGGAUGGGAAUGAAGGUCGAGGAGGUAGGGAAGAAAAGGUUAUUUGCUAUUGGCUUACCCUUAUAUCAGGACUUGGUACGGCCUAUACAUGAUGGAUGAAGUUUUUGGCAAGGUUCAGAAUGGAUGGUACCUAUAAUCAAACCAACCGUUGCAGUACUUGAGAAGAAAGCAAAAAUUCUUCUCUUUUUAUCUAUCUUAAGCCUGCUACUGAUUCCUUAUCUGUUAUCCUGACGUCCUGUAUGCAGGGUUGUUCAAAAAUCCCUUUGCAACUUCCUGGACCGUUCAUACUUUGUUCUGUAGUCUUUCAAUUACCAUAUAGUUUCUAUAAUAUAAUAAAGGCUAUAGGUCAUCGGUUGUGACGUUUACGAAGGGUCAACCCCUCAGAUUUUUGAGUUCUUGGCCUCUAUUCACACUUAAACAUCAUAUGCUUGUGUGGAUAGCUACUGAAAGGGUGUAUGGCACGACAAAGCUUUGCGACUAUGCCAUUCUUGGCGACGGUGAUCGCCGACGAGAAAGUGACGGCCACCCCAGUCAGAUGUCUCAGAAAGGGUAGUGAUCUCCCCCUGAAAAGUAUCAUGACCAUAAAGAGAAGAAAAGGGAGAUUGCAUGUUCAUAACAGAAAAUAGAAAUCUGUUGAUUAAAUACACUGCAGUAGUGAAUGCUUCAACCCAUAGAUGCUUUGGUACUCCAUUAUUUAUCAUCAAAGUCAAAGCCAUUUCAACUAUAUGUCGGUGUUUUCUUCCGAACACCCCAUUCUGCAGCGGAGUAUGAACACACGAUAGCUCACGUUUGAUUCCUAUCUUCAGGAGCAUGAAAUCAAACACCCUUGACACGCAUUCUCCGCCGGAGUUCAGACCUCAACCUCUUGAUCUGGAGAUUUGACUUAUUUUCCAAACUUUCUAUAUAUUCAACAACGAAAGAGCUUAGGACUUCUCUCUAAGUAAAGAAAGCCAGAUGUAUCUACUGUAGUCAUCCACUUAUAAUAGUAAGUAAAGUACCUUGCACCUAUGAAUGACUGCACUCGAGUAGGACCCCUUAAUGAAAUUCAAGUAGUUGUCUGUGAUAUAUCCAACAAUCAGCCGUAGGUCAAAUCACAAGUGGACACUAACGAAUGAAUCAAUCCAAAGAAAGAAUUGGAUUCUUAUGUUUAAUCCAGGAGCAUACAAUUGCCAACUGUAAACAAUCACAUGAAUUGUUCAACCCAUCUGAAUGAAAUGCAGGAAUAUACCCUAGACAAUGGAAGAAGUCUUGCACUGUGUGUUGUGUAUGUCUCAGGCGACGGCGGGUCCCAUUCCUUAUCCUAAUGAAGCAGCUGAAAAAAAGGAAUGUAGAGAAGAAUAUCCGUAUAAUAAAGCUUUCCCAACCGGCCAACGAUCCUUCCCGUGCAUUGAUCAUGGAUAAGACACUCAGAAGAAGAAAAGAUGACACGAAGAUGGUUAGCUGCAAGGUGACUGACAGAAAUUUCUUUUUAGGAGAAAAAUGGAAUCUAUCAUGAAAAAUCCGGGAUGAAGACAUAGACCCACAGUGUGAAAGAGGUAAGAGAGUGCCAUCUGCAAUGUUAACAGAAUCUUUGAUAGGUAAAGGAGGCAGACAAAAAAGCUAAACAUCUUUUUUCUUUCGCGCGAGAAGGAAAGCACUUUUGGGGGCUGACGGUACUCCUUUGGAUGGUUUAACGCGACUAGCAGACCAUGUCGUGCUCAAUCAAAUAAUGGACACUGACUACAAUUUGGAUUGUCUCCUUGGCUCAAUGGAAAUGAAACCCCGUUCUACACUUUAUCAAGAAAAAAAUCAUGCCUUUCCUCCAAAUACCAUUUGCCUUUUCCUCAGCCGACCAGCAAAACAACGAAUUCAACCGCAGAUACCCUUUAGCUAGCACAUGCUAAAAAGAACAAGUAAAUACCCGUCUCGUGCUUGACUCUAUCUGUAAGACAGGUGUGUGAAUCCACUUAGUAAGGAGACAAGACCGGAGAGAAGAAAUUCUAGCGAAUAAGAUAGUUGACUCAAACUUAUCGUAUACAACUCUUAUCUACGACAAGCCUUGGCUCUUAUCCUUGUGGACUCUUCACUAUAUCUGUUGGUGCUCUAGCUGUUCGAAAGCCAGGAGCAGCUACUGGCCUGGACUGAUUGUAAAGAAAGAAGCCAAGAGGCCGCUAGAGAAAGGGUUCCAUUUUCGAGUCUGUUUCCGAUUCUUCCGACCUUGAAUGACGGUUUCCCCUAAUGCCUCCUUGCUGCUUUCAAAGCUACACUUGCUUCCUUCUUUCGCUAAUAAGAGAUUCCAUUAUUCUACACUGACUUUACUAUGCUUCUUAUUAGUUAUAGUAACUAUACUCUCUGGGUUGAAUUACCACAACAGGGGCCUUCCUCAAGGGAGGAGUUCAUACCCGGAGAAAGAAAGCAGACUACUAAAUCGACUAUUUCAACAUAUUGUUUGCACUAGUCUCAUAGCCAUCUCUUUUAACAUAACCUUUCGGCAUCUUCCUUUAUGCUUCCCUCAAAUCCCCUCGGUCAUCCCUUUAUUCAAUAUCCGUCAUGCUAAGAAUAGGGGGUUUAGGAAGAAUACAGGCUUUGUUUCGGUCAGGUGUCGAACUCUUUUAUCUUUGCCAAGAUGCUUUCUCAGCGAUCUUUUCUCAUCCUGAAGUUGAUCUCCUAUCCUCUACUGACCCACCCUAAUCAGCAUUACUAUAGAUUUCGUCUCUCCCAUGGCUAUGAUUAGUAUAGAUCAUACCUUUGCCAAGAUAACCUUUGAGGUAUCUCAAGAUCCUGUAUACUAUAUGUAGGUGUGCUUGACAAGGAGCAUGCAUAUACUGGCUUACCAACCCCACAGCAUAGGUAAUGUCUAGUGAUAGGAAGAUAUCUAACGUUUUCCCACAAGCCUCUGAUGCCUGCAUUAUCCAAGGGUUCUUUUCUCUUUUCUUCAAGCUUAUGAUUUUCUUCUAUUGGGCUAAUUGCGGCCUUGCAACCUAACAUCCCUGUUUUCUUCAAAUCAAGGACAUAAUUUGAGAGAUGGCUCUACUUCUUAUAGAUUUCGAAAACCUCUGUGUCCAAGAAGUACCGUCAGCAUGCCAAGUUUAUGUCGAAGGUGCGGCUCAGGUAAGCCUUCAAUCUUGCAAUCUCAUCAACAUCAUCACCAGUGACCACAAUAUUCUAAACAUUUACUAUGAUCCGGCUCACUUUCUCACCCUUUAUUACAUUACGAAAUGUGUGUGAUCAGAAGCACACCUUUUGUAGCCAAACUAAACUAUGGCCUUACUGAACUUCUCAAACCACGCCCUCGGGGAUUGCUUCAAUCCAUACAGGGCUUUCUUCAAUCUGCAUACUUUAUGUGACUCCCCUUUCAUUCCAUAUCCGGGUGCUAUCUCUAUAUACACCUCCUCGUGCGAGUCCCCAUGCAAGAAGGCAUUUUUCACAUCUAACUGAUACAAUGGCCAUGAUCUCUGUGUAGCCAAGGAAAGUAAGAUUCUAAUAGAAAUGACCUUUGCCUCUGUUGAAAGGGUCUCGCCAUAGUCUAUUACUUUGGUUUGUGUGAAUCCUCUUGCCACUAACCUUGCUUUAUAUCUCUCAAUCUCCCACUUGGCUGGAAUUUCACUGUGUAUACCCAUUUACAUUUAGAUCCCACAGUCUUCUUUCCAGGAGAUAAAUCAACAAUCUCCCAUGUCUCAUUCUUCUCAAGUGCACUUAUCUCCUCCAUCAUCGCCCUCUUCCAGUGAGGGGCACACAAGGCUUCCCUUCUAGUCUUUGGUAUGGAUACCGAAUUACAAGUGGAUAUAAAGGCCUUGUAGGAGGAUGACAAUUUUGGAUAGGAUAUAUAGUAGUUCAAAGGGAGUUAGGUACAGGCUCUUUUUCCCCUUUCCUGACUGCAAUCGUAAGAUCAAGAUCAGAAGUUUCAGGGUUAGUUUCACUCUCUUCAUCUUGAGGCAUAUUAACAUUUCCCAAUUCAAGGGAAAGAUCCUCGCUGUUAACAAGAGGAACAUAAGGGACAACUAGUCCUCUCUUACCUCGUCAGGUCAGUAUGUCUUCCACUAAUUGGUCUUGACCGCAUCUUCCCCUGGAGGAGUAGUAGCAUUGUUUUCUCUAUGGGCAGAUGACAUAGGGAUUAUAAAAGACGGCUGAUCACUUGACUCAGGUUCUUCUUGUUGAUGACUCAAGGUUUUCUUGGUUGGGUCAUGAAAAUCGGGUUGAUUUGAAAAUCAAGUAACAUCCAUAGAGACAUACUUUCUUUUUGUAAUGGGAUCAAAGCAUUUUGUGAUGUCGGAUAACCAGUGAAGACACAUCUCACAGCUCUAGGAUCCAAUUUCUCAUGAGAGGUCCCGGUUACAUAGACAUAACACACACCCAAAAAUGGAAGAUAUAGAUCAAGAAUCUAUUAACAUAUUUACGAAUCCCAAUCCUGGAAAUAUAGCAUCCCACUUUUCUUUACUACCCAGGACUUCGAUACAUUUAGAAAUUAGGUAGAAGAAUAAAGUUUUUAGCAUUAGGAUUUCACACUUGUACAGGUCCCUUUCAAUACCACGGAAAGCAUCCCUAUUAAUCAGGUAAACCUAGGUUAACACUGCUUCAGACCAUAAAGACUUUUGAAGAUUCAUCUCAAAGGAAGGAUAAAACUAACCUCAUCCAACGAUAUUUGUUGAUAAACAGUAGUAAGACGAGAGAAAGAAUCCAAAAAAGUCACAAAAUCAUUAUAACCCGAUAAAGAAAGAGUAGGGGCAGGCCCCCGUACAUCAGAGUGAACUAACUCAAAUAGUACACUACAAUGACUCUCACUAUAGGAAUAUUACUUUAGAAUAUGCUUAGCCCUCUUACAUACAUAAGACUGCAACUCAGACACACCUGAUUCAGAUAAACUAGGAACUAAGACUCGCAUCUUUGACACAUGAAGAUGCCCUAAUCUACGAUGCCAUAACUCAACUUCAUUAUAAGAAGAAGCAUUCAAGGCCUGUGUGGAGGACAUAAGACUAGAAGUCUCAAGUGAUUGAGUUAAAGCUUUGGGCAUAGAGCGAAGCGAGCCCGGGAAGAGGAGUAGAGUCCAGCAACAUUGAGCCCCAAAAUAGAGUUUCUAUUCAAAUCCCUACUCAACACGGUGCCUUAAGAAGAAUCCGAAGCCGGUUGCUAGCGGAAGUAGCACGACAAAGAGCAAAGCGGAGCAUUCACAAAGAAAUGGUGUAAGCAGAAGGGAAGGCGCAACGGUUAGCGACUGCCCGACUCAGACACACCUGAUUCAGAUAAACUAGGAACUAAGACUCGCAUCUUUGACACAUGAAGAUGCCCUAAUCUACGAUGCCAUAACUCAACUUCAUUAUAAGAAGAAGCAUUCAAGGCCUGUGUGGAGGACAUAAGACUAGAAGUCUCAAGUGAUUGAGUUAAAGCUUUGGGCAUAGAGCGAAGCGAGCCCGGGAAGAGGAGUAGAGUCCAGCAACAUUGAGCCCCAAAAUAGAGUUUCUAUUCAAAUCCCUACUCAACACGGUGCCUUAAGGAGAAUCCGAAGCCGGUUGCUAGCGGAAGUAGCGCGACAAAGAGCAAAGCGGAGCAUUCACAAAGAAAUGGUGUAAGCAGAAGGGAAGGCGCAACGGUUAGCGACUGCCCGAGGAGUGAUCCCUCUCUUAUUUUCCCUUUUUUUAAGAUAAGAAAAGAGACAAUAAGCCCGUCAACAUUGAAGCUUCCGCUUUUGGCAGCUGUUAGGCAAGUGAUACCGUACGCAAGUCCGCACCUAUAUAGUGAGGGUGCGUUAAGGCGAGUUGAUGAGCUAAUACGGCUGGCUUACUUUUCAUAUGUAUGUGGAGGGAACCUGACGUUAAGCACUGGGGCCAGCCACAAAGGAAUAGGUUUGAAUAUUGAUAUAUACAGUCUUUCAGCUGACCUUUCCUAACCAUGCUUCGCAAUCAAACUAGAAAAAGACUAAGCAAGUGCUGUCCUAAUGAAAUGGCGGAUAGUUUAGUAUAACAUUCAUUCCUGACCGCCGCUGCCUGCUUAAGACUAAAAGCUAGUAGUGAGACUUCUAUUCUGCCGCCCUAUCUAGUAAGAGCCUCUAAAGCUAUGUUUGGCGUAAUCAAUAGUUUAGUUGGGCUCGACUUUACUGAAGAAAAAGGGGCGAAGUCUCAACUACCAGACUACUACUAUACCAAACGCACUCCACGAGUGGAUUAGUUGAGUGACUAGACUGAUACUCUAAACGAGACCAAUACUAUCAAAAAGAAAGUAGCAAAAAGCAUAAGAGAAGAAAAGUUCACAGAAGGUUGGGAAAUAGUAUGCCCGAUUCACCAGGUUCUACCACUGCAGGGCCCAAUCAUAGUCAAAAGAAGAGUUUGAUCCUGGCUCAGAAGGAACGCUAGCUAUAUGCUUAACACAUGUAAGUCGAACGCUGUUUUCGGGGAGCUGGGCAGAAGGAAAAAAGGCUCCUAGCUAAAGGUAGCUUGUCUUUCCUAGGAGGUGAGAAGAGUUGAAACAACGUGGCGAAUGAGUGCGUAACGCGUGGGAAUCUGCCGAACAGUUUGGGCCAAAUCCUGAAGAAAGCUAAAAAGCGCUGUUUGAUGAGCCUGCGUAGUAUUAGGUAAUUGGUCAGGUAAAGGCUGACCAAGCCAAUGAUGCUUAGCUGGUCUUUUCGGAUGAUCAGCCACACUGGGACUGAGACACGGCCCAGACUCCCACGGGGGGUAGCAGUGGGGAAUCUUGGACAAUGGGCGAAAGCCCGAUCUAGCAAUAUCGCGUGAGUGAAGAAGGGCAAUGCCGCUUAUAAAGCUCUUUCAUCGAGUGCACGAUCAUGACAGGACUCGAGGAAGAAGCCCUGGCUAACUCCGUACCAGCAGUCGUGGAAAGACGGGGGGGGAAAGUGUUCUUUGGAAUGACUGGGCGUAAAGGGCACGUAGGUGGUGAAUCGGGUUGAAAGUAAAAGCCGCUAAAAACUGGCGGAAUGCUCUUGAAACUAAUUCACUUGAGUGAGACAGAGGAGAGUGUAAUUUUGUGUGUAGGGGUGAAAUCCAGAGAUCUACGAAGGAACGCCAAAAGCGAAGGUAGCUCUCUGGGUCCCUACCGAUGCUGAGGUACGAAAGCAUGGGGAGCGAACAGGAUUAGAUACCCUGGUAGUCCAUGCCGUAAACGAUGAGUGUUCGCCCUUGGUCUACGCGGAUCAGGGGCCUAGCUAACGCGUGAAACACUCCGCCUGGGGAGUAAGGUCGUACGACCGAAACACAAAGAAAUUGACGGGGGCCUGCACAAGCGGUGGAGCAUGUGGUUUAAUUCGAUACAACGCGCAAAACCUUACCAGCCCUUGACAUAUGAACAAGAAAACCUGUCCUUAAUGGGAUGGUACUGGCUUUCAUAUAGGUGCUGCAUGGCUGUCAUCAGCUCGUGUCGUGAGAUGUUUGGUCAAGUCCUAUAACGAGCAAAACCCUCGUUUUGUGUUGCUGAGACAUGCGCCUAAGGAGAAAGUCUUUGCAACCGAAGUGAGCCGAGGAGUCGAGUGACGUGCCAGCGCUACUAAUUGAGUGCCAGUAAGAAGGUAGCCGACGCCUGUCAUGGCUUUUUGCUCGUUUGGUCUCGCUAUUUCAUUCCUGGUUCUCUCUUUCAAGCUUCUUUCCAUCUUGGGGAUUUCUUCUCAUUCAGUCCGUUCUUCUAGCUGGUGUCUCCUUCUCUCUUACUUAUCUAUUCCCAUCCAUCUUUACCUCUCCUACUCUACUACUUCCCUCCUUCAAGGCGUGAUUAAUGUACCUUAAACCUCUCUCUUGAAAAAAAGCAUUUUUAGUGGAGCCUUAGCACGUGAACCCAUAGGAACAGGGCCCUUCUUCUUUGUAAAAAAGCUUCUGAAUUAUCAUCACAUCAGUAGGCGCAGAAAGCAAAUCUUGGUAUUGACUUAUUGAAAAUCUCUUUGAGAUUGCUUAGACAAAUCUUUUUGUGUGAGGCCGCUCCACCUUUCUUACCUUGUUUUUUGGGCUUCAAAUUCUGUGACUCAUAAGCCCUCCGUAUCUAAAGAUAGAUGGCUAAAGGGCGGGUUCCGCAGUUAACUAAGAAGGCGAUCGAUUGGCUUGGAGAGGAAAUCGGGGACUGAAAACUAAAAGGAUAGGAAUGAAUUGAAUAAAGAAAGAAUAGAUAGAACCUUGAGCAUUUUCUCUUCUCGUCAAUGGUUGAGAGUAAAAAAGGGGUAUCCGCAUAGAAGGAUUGCUGGUAUACCGGGUAGAUGUUUAUCUUUUUGACUUCAGCAAAAAUGUUCAAAGCACCACCUUCGUCAAUUAUCUUGAUGUCGAAAGGGAAGAGGACAGGGUCUUACUUACAACAAAGUCUAAAAAAGGGGAAGUUUCCUAUCUUAGUUUCACUUCCUUGAACUGGCUACUACCGCGCAAUGUGCCCUUGCUUGGUGGGUCGUUAAUUAAUCAGUUUUAAAAAGAGGGAUGGAUUUCGACCUUUCUUUGAGUCGUCAGGCUAGUAAAGCGCUAUUUCUAAAACGAUCGUUAAGGUUAUUCACUCGAUUCCCUUGGUGGCUCUGCUACCGAUGGAUCAAGAUAUGCUGCCUGCCUAUCAUGCCAAAGGCGCUGCUGGUGGAUAUGCCAAAGAUGUCCUGGCUCUGAACCGGGUACUUGAAAUGCUAAAGGUACUUCUUAUGGUCCUGCUUCAACCACCCUUCCUUCUCUACCUUUUUCUUCAAAAAACUUAAGCUACUUAGACUGAUGCUGGCGAUCUCGAAGGGAGAUAUCUGGACCUGGAGCUACUCGUCUUGAUCUUUAUUAUAUUAGGAUGCGAGGAAGGGGAAAGAAGGUGAUAAGCAAGAAGAGGAAAGAAGAAUGUUAAAGAAGUCCCUAUAAGUACUUCACUUAGCCUUUCUAUAGUCUUUCUUCCCCUCUUCCCUCAAAGCGCGCUCUUUCAUCCAUGCGCAUGGUUCUUACUUUCAUUUCCCCCCGGAGCGCAUCUUGUUUUCAAAGAUGAGUUGUAGAUGAGUCGGUUCGAUCACCCCGCAUAUCGACGGUUUUUUAAUACCUUAUCCUAGGCCCAUCUAGUUGAUCGAGGGAUAGACGAGUAUAAAGAAGGGAUGGAGAAUCUUUUAUUUGAUCUUGAUUUGAUGUAUAUGUUAUGAUGCCUUCGUAUGAAGGAGGAUUGGGGGUACGGCAGAUAAGAAGAGCGACCCAAAAACGGAAAGAAGAGUAUGAGGGGCAGCGGCUCACCGAUAAUAAGAAGAACUCACAUUCUCGUCCUGACAAAUGACCAACCUGUUAAGGCAUCUUUCUCAAUGACCAUCCUCUCCCAUUCCAGUUCUUUUCUCUUUUUUUAAGGGCAAGUUCAUUUUCAUUCCCUCGAUAUGGCCAGGUGUGAAGCAACUUCAUGAUCCAAUGAAUUCCCUAAAAUCGGAUGACACAAGGCGAACUAGAAUAGGCUGAUUGAUCCAGGUAGCGACAGGCUACAAUCGAAAGGAACCGCACGUACGCUAGAAAGACGUAUAGGCAAGCCUUUCUUUAUGAUUAUAUGGAUCACUUUUUGUGACUUUUCUUUCCAUAGGCAUAGAUUGUAGUCUAACCAGCUUUCUAACUUUAGGGGACCGAGAAUCAGUCUUUUGAUCCUCCUCGAGCCUACUCUCGUCUUUUGAAUAUUGCUUCUAAUUUAGUUAGUGCAGACGCUGAAGGAUCAGCUGACACUAGAUAGGAAAGGUUUUUGAUCGAAGCUCUCAAACCUGUUCCAAAGUCACUUUAGGAUUCGGUUUUCGAUCCGGUUGAUGUUCCGACAUCCCGAAUCGAGGUGGCUCUAAACUCAGGUUGCCUACCUCUCUAGUAACAGAGAGAGGAGAGGGGCUUCGAUGCCUUAAUUCAAGCUAGAAAUCUCACUAGAAAACUAGCCAUAUCGAUCUAGGUAAGUGGUGACAACAAAAAGGCUUUUAAGCCUGAGGGGCGGUGAGCGAGGUAGGAUAAAAUGGUAUUUGAACCAGGGCGGGUGGCCCUAUAUAGUCUGUCUUUUCAUGGGCGGUGGGCAGAGAAAAAAGCCAUUCAUUAAACCUUUUGGAACUGGAGACGAAGAGUCGUUUAAAGACCUUUUCAAAAACCACUUUGUAGAGGGCGGGUAUCAUGCUCAAUAGAACCAGACUUUGCUAUGUCAAUAGUCAAUAGGAGAGAGAAAGAAAGAGAACAGCAAGAGGAGGCCUUUUUCUUUAUAUUUCUAUAUUUCGGAAAUCGAAUCAUCAUGCACUUUAGGCCCUUCUGAAAGCCAUGAGGCGGGGUCACACGAGUAGCGAAAGACUGUGCUUGCUCAUGUUCUCAUGCUUCACACAAACCCAGGCUAGGAAGCUUGAAAGCCAUAUCAUAUCAUAUGGAUAUAGAAAGUCCGAUCAAAAAACAAUAAAAAAGGACUGGGAAGGCUUGAAUGGAUGGCUUCCAAGGCCAGGGCUCGAUCCUGCACAAUUCAGACCAGCGAGUAUCUGUUUAAUUUACUUAAUGCACUCACAAGCGUUCGCAUCGCUGCCCUAGCUUCGUGUUAAGGGCACAACUUAAAGAACAACUUACUCUAUUGACGUAAUAUUCAUUCAUUGAAUUUACAGGCCAAAGAUUUAUCAUCUCUAUGGGAUUAAAUCCCGAGUUAUUGCGAAGUAAAAAACCGAUGAGAUUAUGGAAGUAAAUAUUCUUGCAUUUAUUGCUACUGCACUAUUUAUUCUAGUUCCUACCGCUUUUCUACUUAUCAUUUACGUAAAAACAGUCAGUCAAAACGAUUAAUUAUUAACUAAUUUGAAUGAAACUUGACUUCUGAGUUCUUAGCCAAAAUUGCCGAAAUAAAAUGAAAAAGAUUCCAAUUUCAUGUCUUAAAUGAAAUGAGUGGACUAGAAUCGGCAGUAUUCUAAUAGAUAGAUAGUAUGGUAGAAAGAUUCAUCUAUUUCUUUCUACCAUACUAUUUAUUAGUUAGAUUGUAGCUGCUCCCUGGACUAAAAUAAAGAUAGAGGCUGCAUUUGAUAUGUAAAGUCCAAUCAAAAAACAAUAAAAAAGGACUGGGAAGGCUUGAAUGGAUGGCUUCCAAGGCCAGGGCUCGAUCCUGCACAAUUCAGACCAGCGAGUAUCUGUUUAAUUUACUUAAUGCACUCACAAGCAUUCGCAUCGCUGCCCUAGCUUCGUGUUAAGGGCACAACUUAAAGAACAACUUACUCUAUUGACGUAAUAUUCAUUCCUUGAAUUUACAGGCCAAAGAUUUAUCAUCUCUAUGGGAUUAAAUCCCGAGUUAUUGUGAAGUAAAAAACACAUGAGAUUAUGGAAGUAAAUAUUCUUGCAUUUAUUGCUACUGCACUAUUUAUUCUAGUUCCUACCACUUUUUUACUUAUCAUUUACGUAAAAACAGUUAGUCAAAAUGAUUAAUUAUUAACUAAUUUGAAUGAAACUUGACUUCUGAGUUCUUAGCCAAAAUUGCCGAAAUAAAAUGAAAAAAAUUCCAAUUUCAUGUCUUAAAUGAAAUGAGUGGACUAGAAUCGGCAGUAUUCUAAUAGAUAGAUAGUAUGGUAGAAAGAUUCAUAUAUUUCUUUCUACCAUACUAUUUAUAAGUUAGAUUGUAGCUGCUCCCUGGACUAAAAUAAAGAUAGAGGCUGCAUUUGAUAUGGAUCUAUAGAUCAAUCCACAAUAUUAUCUUGAUAUAUGUGAAUAUCAAUUCCAUAUAUGGGAGUGACAUAGCAUCCAAUUCCAUUUAUUUGCUAUAUCUAUUUGUUCUGAUCAAUCUGAAUUAGUCUUAUGUCUUAUAUUUUGAAUUACUCUAUUUUUUAUUUCCAAUAUGAAUCUCGGUAUCUAUUGAAAGAAUCAAAUCAAUGAAGGAAAAGCGAUAGAUAUAGGCAUAUUCAAAAAAUCACGUAGUAAUCUUUUUCUUUAACAUUCCCAUGAAGUAAUUGAGUAAACCAUUGAUAGUAGUUCCACGGGCAUCAAAAAGAAAGAGUAAACCUCACUGAUUUUUAACGCCUGAACCAUGAUAUGAAAUAAGUUGAUAAAAUCUAAAUCCAAUUUCCAAAAUGAAAAAGCGGUAAAUGCGCAAUAUGUGUCCCACCUGACAACCUUAUUCUGCAUAGUAUCUCGUUAGACAACCAUUAUGUUUAUAUCCAUUCUUUCUCAUACAAAGUGCAUAUACACUUAACAAAAAACUUUUUCUUUGAACAGUAAAGAAAGAAAGAAAUAAAAAAAAGGGUCCGGCCCUCCUCAGUAUCACCUAGUAAGAGGCCGUUGAUUGGACUAGAAAAUUUAGGAAAGGGAAGUCUUGCAUUGUAAGCAACCUAAUUCCUAUGUUAUAGCCUUCGUUCCCUUCUCUGUCGGUGUGCUCCGACAGUGAACUCGAGAUAUCUGGUUCAUAAGGUUGCCAAUGGGGCUAGCGGCGUCCCUGCCUCAUGAAAGAGAAGCGAUAUCAUUUUGUUGCCCGAUGGAAGUCAAUAAGAGAGAAAGGACGAACUAGGAUCGACCUGCAUGUGAGGCAAGUAAAAGCUGCGAGUGAGAAAAGAUGGUUGUCAAAGAAGUUAUGGUGUGCCCUUCAUUAAGAGUAAGAGCGCAAACUUGGCAUUUUCGAUCUAGAAAACACUCUUAUUUUUUAGAAGUUUGCUAGGAGGUAAGGUUUAAAUAGGCUUCCAACUGUGUUGGAGUUUUAGACUCACUACUAAUGAAUAGGCUUCAAACAGCUCUUUUUUUUUCAACAGGCUGCAAAUCAUAAGGAUAAGCCUGAACCUAAAGCUCAAGGAGCAUAGUUCCAAUUCAAACUACCUAGAGAGAAACCUAUCAUAGUCCUAGCUAUAAGGGGUUUUCAGUGAAAGCGCGUGUUCUUAGAUUCGUAAGAAUAUGAAUCGUCAAAAGGAAGAUGCUGGUCUUUCAUUUAUGAUCAAUUAAUGGGACUUGGCCGAAAAGUGUUCUUGCCUCUAUCAUUAGUUCGGGUAGUCCCCGUUUCAGGUGUUUUAGUCACCUUUCAAUGGCUCCCUUAAUUAUGUGCGAGGAAUUGCCCUAUUUAGUAAUGGGAAGCGGGCUAGUCCCCGAAAAUGCCCCGCCCGUAAGUUCCUUUGUCAUUGGGGAAAAAAAAGAAGUGAUGCUCAAAAUCCCUGUGGAUAGGUUCAUCCAUUUUUGGUAGACAGGGAAUUUGAUGAAGUAGACAUUGGAUUGGACAGCGGCAAAGAGGGGCCUGAUCCAGGAAUGUCGGGAGCUUGCCCAAGGCCCGAAAUACACAGAUGCAAGAAGAGAGGGUAAACAGUCAAUUCUCGAUGCGAAGAAGAGCUCUCUUUCACAAGUCCAGUGGUCGCUUGCUAAGGUAGUUUGCAACCUUCAUUCUUAGAGUACAGGUAGUUGGAUGCGACUUAGCGGUCUAUAGAAGAGAGUGUCAGAUGUGAGAAAGAGAUAGACUGAGAUCCUGACAUUAUCGUUAGAGUAAGAUGUGGAACUCUUUUCUCCAACAUGCGGUCACACAAGAAGGUUGGAGUAAGCUAGUCGUGCCUGCACUCCUAAAGGCUGAGACCUUAUUUAGAGCAAUAAGAGUCGUCGAAAGAGCAAACUUCUUCAACAAUCUCUAUUCUUUCUUACAGCUAACCAUGAACAGCGUUCAGAGUCGAUUCUGUAACAAGAACAGUGAGGAUACUGCGCCUGAGUCACAGCCACACUCCACUCCAUCUAUUGCUCCUAUAGGUUCUGUGGAAUCAAAACUCCCUUUAGAUAGCAAAGAAUCAUUCCUGUGUCCCGCCAAGCCAAAGAAAGAAGGCAAGGUUCCCUGGGAAAGGCUCAGACUAGUGUCAAGGUCAAGGCAAAAAGCUUAGUCGUUUUCAACUCAGAGUUUCACUCACGGGAUUUCUAUUGAAUUCAGAGCCACCGGGCAUUGAUUCAUUGAGAGCAGACGAUCACUAAGAAGACUUGAGGAUAGGACGUGAGAUCCACUACUUACGUGACCAUCUGUCUGAGAUUCAUAUCUUUCUAGUUUGAUGAAACGCUCCUAAAUUAAAGCUUUUAGAAAGACUCUUUCUGACUAGACAGUCAGAUCUUUCAUGUAGUGGUGCGUAGACUUUCGCUUCAUGUGGGAUUUAUCUGAGAAUCAACUGAGUUGAACUUCACUCGAGGGCAAAUGCUUAACAUCACUAGUUUAGUGCCUUGUACAUAAGGAGAAGGACGACUGAAAGCAACUUGAUGACUUCUGCCCCUAGUUUGAAUACUGGCUACCAGCAUGCUUGACUUGCCCAUCUCCUCGUGAUUGAACUCGCAUUCAGCUAGUCUUCUUUCUUCGGUUGGUCUUGCGCUUGCUCGCCUGUCACUCACUUGGAUUUGCUAGACGCUUGUCUCUACUCAUCUGGGAUGCAUGACAUCGUCUAGCGAGAAUUCCGCUUGCACUACAUUUUCUGCCGAUAACCUGAGCUUACAAAACAUUGUAUAGCCUUCGGCUACCGUCGGAUUCAAUCUCAACAAUUGAACAAUGAACCAAGGACUCUGAUUUUAUUUGUUUUUAGGUAACCUGUUGCUCGAGGUGGGACUUGCAAGCUACCUUGCUUAUACCGUUGCCUUGCUUGCGCUACCUUGCCUCGCACGCAAGCAACUCGCCUUGCUUGAUCUGUGCAACCUCAGUCGACACUCAUCAAACUCGACUCUCUUCUUAUAUAGAAGACACUAAUAGCGUGGGGGGCCCGCCCUCUCCUAUUGGCGAAUCUCCUUGCUAUUGUUGUUUCAAAUAUAUAUCCCAUUCCUGGCUGUCCUGCGGCACAUGCGGUACCAGCUCUUUUUCUUGAUGUGGCUCUUUCGGAAGUUGCGGAAGAUAGUAUAGAUUCUCUUGUUCUUUCUUCGGCAGUUGUGGAUGUGCUUUACUUCUUUCUGAGUAUCCCAGUGCAGCUGUCUUGUUCAAGCUAUGGAUCUUAUAUAGAGAAGGAGUGUGAAAGCCCAUCUGCGGCUGCCAAGAGAAGGGAGCUGCCCAUUUUGGGAACCAUUGAAGGCCGCCAUCAACCCCCAUUCGAAGGGGCACCAGUUCUCCAUUUAUUUCUUCCUCUCCUUCCCUUCACUGGAUAGAAGCUAUCAAAACCUCCCAGUCAUCGAAGCUCAGAAGCAGUAAUCCGCAUUUCAAAAUGAAUCUCUUUCUUUUGUCCUUUAGGUUUCCAUCAACUUCAAAUCCAUCUGCCGCCCCCGUAUACUCUGCUUUCGGAGAGCCGAAACCAGGGACGGGAUAUGAGGCCACCUCUCCUAGUCUCAGUUGGUAUUCCCAUCAUUCAGUGAAGGCUCGAAGUCAUCUCCAUUCAUCAGAAACUAUCAAUUACGAGUCCGGGGCAGGCUAACCACCAGCAUCUUAUCUCUUUUCAUCCUUUCCGGUGGCACUAAUAGAAAGGAAGUACUUGCCAACGAACCUUGACUCUCUACUCUCUCCCAGCGAAUCAAGAAAUCUAGUGCGGUCAGGAAAUGCAUAAUUUGGAUUGGAAUCCCGGGAUUGAGAGACAGAUAUUUUCCAGGUCCGAUAUUUGAUCAUUUGCCGCUCACUAGCUUCUUUCUGCAUUGGAUCGAAUCAAUUAGAUGGGUCACUGGGAAUGGAUUAGCUUAUUGGUUGCUCCGAUGCCGCUCCGUACCCCUUGGAAGAUUGAGGAUACAUCAUAGGUUUUAUUGCUUUUGAUCCCUUUAUUUCUCUGCGGAGAAAAAGCUAGGUCAAGGGGAACCACCUACCACUGAACCUGUGGACGGGAUCAAAGAAUCAAUCAGUGGAAUUUUUAGGCCUUAGCCCUUCUUCUCUUUGCCCACAUCCACCAUACCUUAGCCUUAAGAACAACCAAACCACCGGUCAAUCGACCGACAGUGAACCAAAUCCGCGUUUUCAAACAAUGAAUCUAAUUCAAACUCUCUUAGGAUGCUCGUGGUUCUGGAACCGGCUGCCCGAACGAUCCAUACAAACCAUCUCCUGGCCGAAAAUGAGACCUGGUGGAGCAUCUUAGCCAGCCAUCUCGUUCCCCUCUUCCCCGCAUCUAAACCAUUCUUUCUUUUAUCUCAAUCUCUCGCAAGGGUACGUUUUCCAUCACGACUCAAAGUUUCUAAGGAUCCAUGGAAAUCAACGGCUUAGCGAGCUAGGGUUGAGUGGAGACAAAGAUGGACUCGACUUCUCUUCUCGCUCGGAUGCAGACAUAGAUGGAGAGUUUAACUGGUUCAUAAAAACAGAGAGUUGGAUCCGCAUCGGAAGGAGGAUCAGGAGAAGAAAGCAGGCAGUGUAUAAAGGGAGACUGGGAAAGAGCAGGGCUUGAACUUCCGAUUCGAGCUCACAGGAUAGAAAGGAUUCCUUUGAACGCAUCAUUGAUAGUUCCAAGUAGUCAAGUUGAUGUCACAGAUUUAAUCUGCCUCUACUUCCUCAAUAUCAAUGAAUAUAUAGCUUGAACCCCCAAACCCUGAUUUCAAAAUGUCGUAAGUGAUAUUCGAAAUCACUGAAUGUGUAUUGAUUGCCACUUAAGUAGGUAGGAUAAGUCUCAGAAUUACCAUUGGGAUUAUUUAGAUUCUGCCGACCCAAAAGCUAUUUCGCGGGUUAGCCACCUCGUGCAAUGUGUCAGUAGCCAUUCUGACAGGCAGUAGACACUACUACUACUGAAAGGGCGGUCAAUCUUGCUUAAUUACACUUUCACUUUGCCACAUCAGUACGACAAGGCGGACAUUGGUGCGCGGUAAAAAAGUUCGAGAUUUCAUUUAAGAAUUUUCUAUUAAUAAGCGUCCCUAUUUUUUGGAUAGGAUAGAGAAUGUGCAUUGCCUAGGGGAACUAUAGUCUAGGUCAGAGCUGAGUUAAUCGUAGUUUUUUAUCCAUAGGAUAGGGAAAAAAGGGAGGAGAAUAAUAAGAAUAAGUUUUCCAUAAAGAGCUCACGAGACUCCCCAUACGAAGAAAGGAGCGACCCGCCAGAUUCAAAUUAGCAUAUAGAAAAGUGGAAUCCGUUCUAAAUUCCCCUAAUUUCUUUCUCUCAUGUCAUGAGGAGUCGCUUUGGUGAUGCAGUUCAGCAAAUCUCACCUACAUCUGCGGAGCCGGAUAUCAGCAGGACGAUCCAAAAUAUUAGGUGGCCCGCGGGCAUAGAAAAAAAGAAAGACAAUUAAAAAACAAUUGUAUGACCGAUAGUAGUACAUGGUUGACUUGGAACUAAUUAUUGAAAACCAUAAAUGAGUUUUAUAUAUUCGAAAGCCUGCUCCUAAUAAAAACUAUAAAAUCCACACUCUAAAAGGUUAGAGUAGACAUCAGAUAGAUAUGAUGGGUCUAGCACGUGGAAACGCUCUUUAAUGGAACUUUAGCCUUAGCUGGCCAUGCCCGAAGUCCUUACCUUAACUGCAAGGAGGGGGAUGCCGAAAUAAAAUAAGGAUUCAAUCUAGCCACAGGUUCCCCUAUGGCUACCUUGUAAAGUUGUGAAAAAGCAAAGAAAGAAUGGCUAUAAACAUCAUCGACCUUUCAUUGAUCUUUUGCGCCUCGGGCGUUCGCCAGUCGAUCAACCAAGAAAUGAGUUGGUCGAGGCGGAGUGACUGAAAGAUCUCUGACGUCAUCAAAAUGCCUCCUUUAUACAGGAACACAUAGCCCAAGAAGAAGACGCUUUAAGAUGAUCCCCAGAGUUGUGUUCGCUAUUCUAAAAAAGAAAGAAAGAGAUUUUUUUGAGAUUCUCAAUUCUGCCUUUUUUGAUCCCAUGCUUUCCAUUGGUCAACAACUAACUAAAGUGCUCUAUACUUCUUCACUACUCCUACAGGCUUGACGGAGUUAAGCUGUAUUGAGGGAAUCAUUUUGUCUCAAUCAAUCAAUAAUGCCUCAACUAGAUAAAUUCACUUAUUUCACACUGGAUCUAGCGCAGAUUGUCUCCAACCCACUUGAACAAUUUGAAAUAAUCCCAUUGAUUCUUAUGAAAAUAGGAAACUUAUAUUUCUCAUUCACAAAUCCAUCUUUGUUUAUGCUACUAACUCUCAGUUUGGUCCUACUUUUGGUUUAUUUUGUUACUAAAAAGGGAGGAGGAAACUCAGUACCAAAUGCUUGGCAAUCCUUGGUAGAGCUUAUUUAUGAUUUCGUGCUGAACCCGGUAAACGAACAAAUAGGUGGUCUUUCCGAAAAUGUGAAACAAAAGUUUUCCCCUCGCAUCUCGAUCACUUUUACUUUUUCAUUAUUUUGUAAUCCCCAGGGUAUGAUACCUUAUAGCUUCACAGUCACAAGUCAUUUUCUCAUUGCAUUGGGUCUCUCAUUUUUUAUUUUUAUUGGCAUUACUAUAGUGGGAUUUCAAAAAAAUGGGCUUCAUUUUUUAAGCUUCUUAUUACCGACAGGAGUCCCACUGCCAUUAGCACCUUUUUUAGUACUCCUUGAGCUAAUCCCUUAUUGUUUUUGAGCAUUAAGCUCAGGAAUACGUUUAUUUGCUAAUAUGAUGGACGAUGAUAGUUCAGUAAAGAUUUUAAGUGGGUUCGCUUGGACUAUGCUAUGUAUGAAUGAUCUUUUAUAUUUCCAGGGGAUCUUGGUCCUUUAUUUAUAGUUCUUGCAUUAACUGGUCUGGAAUUAGGUGUAGCUAUGUCAAAAGCUCAUAUUUCUACGAUCUUAAUCUGUAUUUACUUGAAUAAUGCUAUAAAUCUUCAUCAAAGUGCUUAUUUUUUAUAAUUGAACAAAAGCGAGUCUGAAUGGGUAUACUUAGUCGUGGAGCAUUCCGAGUCUUUGCUUUAGGGAUCGUUCCUGCCCCUCUCCUUACUUUAUAGCAGUUAUUGCUCCGGUUCCAAAAGGUAUAUAGCUCUCGCCUCAGCUUUUUCUUUGAAAUCGGAGACUGUUCCAAUUUCCUACUGAGAUAGGCAAGCGGAGGGAGAACUAGACGUAUCUUGCUAGGCAAAGACAAGUUAGAAUGGAUAGCUCGCGGGUGGGAUUGAUGGGAUAGAUCACUAUUGUAGAAGGAGGUAGAACCAGGGGAAGAAUUAUGGCUAUAAAGGUCCUCGCCCUCUUAGGCACAUGGUUCUAAAGAUUCAAUCUCAAAGCGGUACUAAAGAUUAGGCAGAAGAAGAACUAGAACUCGAAUUCUUUGCCCCUCCCCCUGUACCAAGAAGCAAGUUCAGAACAUAAGGAUAAUGGGCUCCUCUAUUAGAAGUUAUUAGUUUACAGAGCUAUCUCAGAUAUCUCAAGUAAGGAGAUGGGACGGGUUUGAUAGUUAGAGUUCUAUUUCUAGGAAGGAAGAGACUAUUGGGAAGCUCACUCUCGGCCGGGCUCGAAGCAGAGGGUAGAACGUAAUAUCUCUUGUUUGUUCAGCUCAUCAAGCUAUUACAAAAGAGUCCUUAAAGAAAGCAAGCAGCAAGUCAGUUUGCGCAUAGCAUACUCUCUCACUUCUUCUCCUUUUACGACCGGUCGAAGGGGAAUGGGCCAACUCGAAAUGGACCAAUUCGAGAAAAGGGUCAAGAUAUGGUGCUGCGGUCAGAACAAGGAAUCCUUUCUAGGAGGAUAAUGCAAAUUGUGAUAUAUCUCAAUAGUUAACGGAAAGGAAUAGGCGAGAGGAGAAGUGUUGUUUGCAAGCGAACCCAAUAAUGCCAUGAGGCAGAGAGCCUUUUGAUGAAGCCUGCACCCACUGGGAAAAAGGAAUAAUAUACCUUGCCAGAGUUUCCCCAUAAGGGGUCUUAAACAACAUAAGAAAAAGCUUCACCGACUACUUUAUCCACAAGAAUGUCAUAAAGGUUCUCUCCGGUCUCCCUCAAAAAGACAGCUUUAGAGCGCAAGCCUAAUCACCAAUAAGCAAGUGGCUCUUUCAGUACAGAAAAGUUACUGGAUAGACUCAGCGUUUGGACUUCUGAUUCAAAGUCACACAUCAGAAUAAGAAUGUUGGGUUUGCCAAAGGGAUGUUGGGGUAAAAUCCCAUCAUAUCACUGAGGCGAAUACUGUCCUGUAGGACAACCUUUAAUCUGUGCCCUUUAACUUAUGAAUGUCUGAUCGUAAUAGGUAUUUAGGAGUUAGUAGGGCUAGGAUUAAAGUCUUGUUCUCAUUUUCUCUCCAACCAUUUGGUAGGAUUGAGGAUGACUGUUAGUAAGUUUAACCGGUCACGUCCACUACCUUCAUAUAUUUGAUUGGAAGGAAAAAAAACCUCAAUCUGUAUUUGAAGGGAAAGAUAGUGGAUUUCUCCGAAGGAUAAAACCCAAGGAGAUACAUCUCUUUCUGUAGAGAUGGUGUUUAAUAGGGAUGGGCAUCAUUGGUCCCACUGUAACCCGUAAUGGGUGAGUAGUUCCAUAUGAUGUUUAGUACUAUACGGUUGUGUGCUCAAUCAAAGGUAUCUAUUAUCAUUUGAUAGAUAUGCCGUAUAUAGCACACUUGAAGGGUCCAACAAAGAUCUUAGUUUGAUCAAGUUCGGGCCUGAUCGAGACGUGUUAUAAUGUGGAAUCAGUGAGGGAUUGAUGAUUACACCAAGGUACUCGGAAAUCUCUCAUUGUCAUCCUCUUUGAUAAUGCAUAUUUGAAGGUUAUUCAAGAGACAUCAGUAGACUUACCAUCUUCUGGUGAAAAGACGUAGUCUAUAAAGGAGCAAGCCAUAAGGACUUUGUAGAUCGUGAGAAUGCAUGUUCUAAUGCUUGCACGGGCUCAUCUGCUUCCAACAAUCCAAAAAAGUGAGUUUCACAGAAGGAAGGCUGGUUUGUCAAUGCUUGAACUUAUUGAUCUAAGUGAGCUAUGAGGUUAGUCUUCUAAGAUCAACUUACUUCAAAGUGCCCAAACAUUAUUUGUUAAUUGAAGGAAUGAUCCUAUCAGUGAUUAUGUACUAGGCUUAUCUAAUGAAUUGAGUCUUCCAAGAAAGGUUUCUAAUGAAUCUGCUAAUUGAGGUUCUAGAUUCGUUCAAAAGGCAGAAAGGAAUAGGCUAAGGGCCGUACCUUAAUGAUCCCUAACCAUAUUGAUGUUCCUGAGUUCUAGUCUUUCUGGUAGCCAAUGAUCUAAGGGAGCUAGCAGUGCAAAGAUACUCAAAAGUGGUACGCGCACAUAAAAAGCGGUUGGACGGUGUCUUUCUCUGUUUUGUUCCUUCCUCGGCAAGCUUGGGAGUUUCCUGAUGUAAGCUCCCUGGGUACGGUUUCGGAGUUUAUGUAAAUGCCCUAUCUUCAAAGGGAGCUGCUGACUUAAGGUAUCCCCUGAUCCGAGGGUGAGCUAGAAUUUCGUAUGGUGAAGAGGAAAGGAAGAAGUCAUUGUAAAGGAAGACGACAUUGACCAUUUCCACUGCCUGCCUAAAGGCUUAUUGGUAGCUCUUAGGUUCUCUGUCAGUAGAGUGAUUGCCAAAACCUAGGUAUGUUUUUGGAGAAUAAUAAGAAGAGACGGUCGUAGCUUUUAGAGACUAUCCUCUGCAGUUGUAGCUACGUGGAAGCCAGCUACUUAAUGAAAAGCCCCCUAACCAUUCCGCUAUUCCUGCCCUAAAGCAAGGGAAUCCGCUCUGACCCACCACCCUGGUAGGAAUUGCCAGAUUUACAGUUUAUGAAUCCUUGUAAUACAAGUUCUUUCCUCUAACGAUGGCUACUUCCUAUUCAAGUGCCACUUAUCUUAACACAACUUGAGAUAAUUGACUCCCAGCCUAGCUAGACCUGGUGAAAGCAAUCAAGCCAAAGCAAGAUUGAUUUCUUCAACGGUAAGAGCUGCAGAUGAAAUAGCAGUGGUUAUGCCGACAUUUUCCCUUAUCUUAUUGUUGGAUUAUCGGAUUCCAUUCUUUCGAUUAGGAAGGAGGUUCACUUAGAGCUUUCUCGGGAAUCAAAGUAUAAAGAGGGUGAACUCCGAACAAGGCAGAAGGUAUAAAAGACUCGGCUGGACAAGAGGAUCUACUUUCAUUACCUGGGAAAUGUUAGGAGGUGCGCUACCGUACUGCCCCACUUAUGAUCUUGCCUUGAAUCUUCCAGUUAGUGGACUGGUCUAUUGCUGCAGUAUGCUGCUUACCAGUUAUGCCGAAGAGAAAAAUAUGGAGGAUUGAUCCUAUUCACUGCUAAUCGUGCAGUUUCCUUCCAAUGAUAAGGCUUUCGGGCAGUGGAAGUGGCCUUCCACUUAAGUUUCUUUGUCAGUUUGAGUUCUAAUAGUAGGAGCGCCAAGGUAAGCCCUUGCAGCCAUUGAGAUAUAUCUAGUGGAAAUGCUAGUUUCCAGCUAUCCGAUUCAAGUCUUUCGUUCUGCCAGCAAGCUGGUGCUUGUAGCCUGUGGGUUAGACUGCCCUAAAGCGAGUAGGAGUGUACUCACAUGCAGUUGGAAAGUUUGAAAGCAGAGCAGGAGUCUUCAUCUCAAAUGGGCUUUGAUAGAUCUUUGAAAUUGGAAAAAGAUGCUCAGUCCACUCUCUUUUCAAUCCAGUUAUAGUUGGAGUAGUAAGCUCAUCUAGUUCCCCCUCUUUCUCUCUUUCCUGCAGUUUGAGUUUUAGUUGUCUUUCCUGUCGAUCUCGACGAGCCAGUCUUAGUAGUUGUCCUAAUAGGAGGAGGGCCAUGUAAUAGUUGCUAGUCUUACUUCCAUGGAGUGGUAGAAAGCGAAAUUGGGAGAAAUUUGACAUCCUGUCUUAUCUUAUAUCGAUUUUACUCUUUUUGUCUUUCUGUGCCAUCUUCAGGCGAUCGUAGACUUUAUCUAAGAGGUGGAUUUCCCUCGAUAGUUGGGCAUAUUAUAUAUGAUGGAUACGAGUGGGCCAGGCAAGUGAAUAGGUAUCAGGCCAGGUUACUUUUCUGAGAGUCCUAAGGAGGCUACCUAAACAAUCAUUGAAAGGCUUAAGAGAGGUCAGGAAGGACAAAUCAAAGAGAAGGGUGGUUCGUAGAUUAGUAUGAGUAUGAACUUCAGCGUGAAGUGGUCAGGUUCACUCCUUCUAGAGGAAUGGAUUCGUGUACUGAUUGCUUGUCUUAGCUUCUAUAUCCCUCACUCGAUAGAUCUUCAUUUGUUAGAAUGAAUUCCUUAUUGCUCUAAACGAGCUACAUGACUCAGGUAGCUUGUCUCCAGAACCUCCACUUCCCACAUCGAGCUUAGAAACCCGGUCUUUUUCAUUAAAAAAGAAAGAUUUUAGCAAUCCUCAUCAAGGAAGGGGUCCCAUCGCACAUCCGAUUCAUGAACAGAGGAUUCGUAAACAGACAGGCUUGACAUUCCUUAAAAAGUGGAAAAGAGAGGAUUUGCAAGAUCAAUAAAAGUCAAAUAGCGAAUAGAAUGACCUAAGAGCAAAAGUCUUGGAAGAGUGAGCGCAGGGAAGGAUAUUUCUUUACAUAAAGAAGUCGAUUUCAAACUCAUUUCACUCCUCUCGUUUAUACUAUUUUUCAAGGUCGGAUUGGAAUCUUCACUCCCUUCCUGAAGGAAUUCGAUGAAGAAAUCGUCUAUCUUAUAGAGCUUUUUCCUCUCCUCUCUUUAAACUGAGAAAGAAGAAAGAAGUCCCUCGACUUUUAUUUCAAUAAGUGUCUGUAGACACAAAGUAGUGUGAUGUAUUGCUUUCUUUGUUAUGUUGAAUGAAGUUCUAUGUCCUUUGUUCACUUAAUUAAGUAAAGUUGUGUCUUUGUUUGGUUUGGUUUGUUGUGUUUGCAUGUAUGGUAUGGGCCAAAACCUAGUCUAAAGUGUUCACUACUUAUGUGAAUUGUGAAUAUAAAUAAUAAAGACUUUUUCGUAAAAAUGUGCAUGUGAAAGUUGAAAGAAAGCGUACUGUAGAUGUGCUUAUUAAGCCUU